RNAcentral lists this ribosomal RNA (224 nucleotides) under uncultured bacterium. RNAcentral's name for it is "partial 16S ribosomal RNA". It matches the Rfam family "Bacterial small subunit ribosomal RNA", at positions 28 to 250 of the family's 1533-position model. The record is from RNAcentral.
GACGAACGCUGGCGGCGUGCUUAACACAUGCAAGUCGAACGAUGAAACUCUUCGGAGUGGAUUAGUGGCGAACGGGUGAGUAGCACGUGGGCAAUCUGCCCUGUACUUUGGGAUAAGCCUUGGAAACGGGGUCGUAAUACCGGAUAUCACUUCUCUGGGCGAUCCAGGGUUGGUUGAAAGUUACUUGGCGGUACAGGAUGAGCCCGCCGGCCUAUCAGCUUGUU